AUCUGUCAGAGGGGCAGUGCCCACACUCCAGCCAGGCAAGCCAAUCAUGAUGCUAUGGCUUCUGGACAGUGAAGAUGGCCCUGCUGUUAAGGCUGAGAAUGCCAGAGAAGUGUCAAGAGUUUGAAAGCAGGCAGCUCACCCUUGGCUCUGUCAGCCAUAAAGCCUUAGCUCACACAAAAAAUUCCUAAUUCCAGGAUCCUCUGGUUUCCAGGGAACAUUUCCAAGAAAUUUCCCCAGGAGCUCACCAACUUUUUUCUUUUCUUAGGCUAUGUAAAGAGACUUGUCAUCAAGGACAUCGCAACCAAGCCUUUACCUUUUAGAAAGUGUAUAAAACGGUGCCACUUCAGGGGAGAGUGCCUAGUGACCACACCGAGGAGCACAGUAGAGCCGAACACAGAUUGGUCUUCAAGAAGUGUGGGGCAACCUGGUCCUUGGAGAGAACUCCCAGAGGGAUCAUGGCAACCUCCACAUGGGUAGGGCAGCCAUGAGGCCACAGCCUCUUUCCUCCUCCAAAUCAUCCCUCUUUCCUUUUCAUCUUAAACAUUCUACCUCCCACAAGAAAAUCUAUUGCUAUGAAUUACUUUACAUGUCUUCCUACCCAUAAACAUGUGCCUAAGCUCUGACCAGAAGGUCUUGAGGAA
Long non-coding RNA from Peromyscus eremicus (cactus mouse), 641 nucleotides. RefSeq lists it as uncharacterized. The transcript has 3 exons. The record is from RefSeq and is a predicted model, not a curated record. NCBI's taxonomy places the organism in Eukaryota, Metazoa, Chordata, Mammalia, Rodentia, Cricetidae.